GCCACCUUAGCUCAGUUGGUAGAGCGGCUCAUUCGUAAUGAGCAGGUCAUCGGUUCGAGUCCGAUAGGUGGCU
RNAcentral lists this transfer RNA (73 nucleotides) under Anaerolineales bacterium. RNAcentral's name for it is "tRNA-Thr". It matches the Rfam family "tRNA". From Rfam's summary of the family: Transfer RNA (tRNA) molecules are approximately 80 nucleotides in length. Their secondary structure includes four short double-helical elements and three loops (D, anti-codon, and T loops). Further hydrogen bonds mediate the characteristic L-shaped molecular structure. tRNAs have two regions of fundamental functional importance: the anti-codon, which is responsible for specific mRNA codon recognition, and the 3' end, to which the tRNAs corresponding amino acid is attached (by aminoacyl-tRNA synthetases). tRNAs cope with the degeneracy of the genetic code in two manners: having more than one tRNA (with a specific anti-codon) for a particular amino acid; and 'wobble' base-pairing, i.e. permitting non-standard base-pairing at the 3rd anti-codon position. RNAcentral also lists the same sequence under 1 other name. The record is from RNAcentral. Lineage: Bacteria; Bacillati; Chloroflexota; Anaerolineae; Anaerolineales.